UCAGCGGGGAAAGAAGACCCUGU
RNAcentral lists this small nuclear RNA (23 nucleotides) under Arabidopsis thaliana (thale cress). RNAcentral's name for it is "snRNA_10862". Lineage: Eukaryota; Viridiplantae; Streptophyta; Magnoliopsida; Brassicales; Brassicaceae. The record is from RNAcentral.